Molecule: long non-coding RNA, 366 nt
Organism: Schistocerca americana (American grasshopper)
Lineage: Eukaryota; Metazoa; Arthropoda; Insecta; Orthoptera; Acrididae
Exons: 3
Source: RefSeq, a predicted model, not a curated record
CGCUCGACGGGGGGUCGUGCGCUGCCGCUCUGCGUGCCGCGGUGCGACGCUGUUCCCGGGAGGCCUCUAACAUGACUUCAGCGGGCAUCGCAACACAGGAGAGCAGAGACCAAGCUGACAGUGGAGAGGGCUCCCAUUAUGCGUUUCGAUCACUCGACUUCUAUUCGCCUCGUCCCUGUAAAGGAAGUACAAGCCUGGAAGCGGGGCUACCGUUAAGGAAAGCAAAGCGGUCGUUAUCCAACGUGUACGGAAGGGACUGACCAACAAGAAGCUGCCAAAACUCCCUCUUCACUUACGACUUCGUUUCUCUUUCUAGAAAUGAAGUUAAGAAUACCAACUAGCAGUUUAUAGUGUUAAAACUACGAC